This is a long non-coding RNA of Callithrix jacchus (white-tufted-ear marmoset), 593 nucleotides long. RefSeq lists it as uncharacterized. The record is from RefSeq and is a predicted model, not a curated record. NCBI's taxonomy places the organism in Eukaryota, Metazoa, Chordata, Mammalia, Primates, Cebidae.
GGUGGCUUUGCUGUCCAAGGCUAGGCAGGAAAUGGAGUCUCGGGCAGCCACUGCUGUCCUCUGCGGGUGUGGCUGGGGACUGGCUGGGAAGAAAACCAGCGUCAUUUGAUACAGUUGCUCUGGAAGGUCUCUGAGCACGGGCCCUGACACCCACUUUCCCAAGAACAAGCCCGGUCCUCCACCCAGCAGACGGUCUCGUGCAGGAGAGAGGGAUGGCGAUGCUGGUCUCACCAGAGCCAGGGUGGUGUCCCCACGAGGCCGGGUAGUGGAAAGCGCUGGGAACCAAGUGGCUGUUGUUGGAGGUGGCCGACUGCGGAAAGGCCUGCUUUAUUUCGUCGCAGUUCAUUUAUUUUCCUUUUCAUUCUACCAGCUGCCCGGUGUUUGGCCACCCGGACUCCGGUUUGAAACGCAUUGGAUAAUGAAUCCUUUUCGCCUCCCUCCUUCUAAAAUACCAGUUCAGUUUAUCGGGAACCCAGAGGUAGCCCACCGUGUGACUCAGUGGCACGGAAAACAUCGGAGUCGUUGACUUUGGGGUGGCAAAAUGGGAUCUCACACAUGGUACUUUAUCAAAUAAAGGGCACCGGCAUGUUAAA